RNAcentral lists this unclassified non-coding RNA (1522 nucleotides) under Hevea brasiliensis (rubber tree). Lineage: Eukaryota; Viridiplantae; Streptophyta; Magnoliopsida; Malpighiales; Euphorbiaceae. The record is from RNAcentral.
AUUCGCUUUUUCCAUUCUAAACGAUUUUGAAUUAAAUCAAAGUAAGCUUUUCCCCUCUUAAUCUUAAUUCCUUUCUUUUGUAUGUAAGCAUAUUCACACUUUAAGCAUCAUUCUCACAGGAUCUAUCUUCCAAUCCCAUGUCUUCAACUUCCCAAUCGUUACGGAAUGGGAUUGCUUUCCAAAAAGAAAAAGGACUAAUGAUCAUAGUUAUUGAGGUAUAUUUUUGGUAUUUAGCAACAAUUGUUUUGUAUUUUUUAAGGAAAGAGGCAAGGAAAGCAACACAAUGAGCAUGAAAUUCAACUACUAAACAAGAAUUUUAUUAUACAUUGGCUCAUCUGCUGUGUGCGUGUUCUGCAUUUUCUUUACCUUUACAGUUUUCUUAUUUUCUACUCAUGACUGAUGUAUAGUGUACCAGAAAAAAGAAAAAAGACUGAUGUAUAGGACUAAAAUGAUUCUAAUUCACAAAUAAAUUAACAUCUAUGGUUGUUAAGUGGGUGUAGGACAAUUGAUUUCACAAGAGACAUCACUAGAAUGAAGGUCACCACAGGAAAGAAAAAGAAAAAUUACUAGAAAGAUAUGGAAAUUCUGUUUCGUUACAGAUGGUAACGUGGAAUUUUAGAGUGGAUACAUAAAUUUUCUUCAAGGCAAAAUUGAACUGGGGAUGAUAAUAUCCCCAAUGUUAUUGUGCCAUGGAUCAGCCAAGUGAGUUGCCAAGUUCUCCAACGGUCCAGUCCCUGGGUAAGCUGAUUGUUGCACACAGAAUCCCACAAAUGCCAACAGUGCUAGCCGACCUACACAUCAAAUUUUGCUCAAAUCAAUUAAUCCUAUUGAACGAGCUCCCAGCCAUUGAUACAAUAUCUUAGUAACAGUUGUAAAUUAAGAUUUAAUCAUAGCCGUCCAUUUGUAAUGGAGCCCAUUACUAUGGAUAAACAAGAUCUUGCAGUUGAAACCAGCAGGAGUUUAAGAGGUACUUACCAUUCUUGAUUUCUUUGACCUUGUAUUCAUGGAACUUUUUAGGGUCCUUGGAGUAGCCCAAAGGAUCAAAAGCACCACCAGGGUACUUCCUCUUCUCAGGAUCUUUCUCCAUGCUGCGUUGGUGCUCAACGAAGGAAAUAGCUAGGAACUCGAUGAUCAAAAUGGUUGGGAGGGUUCCCCAUGGAACUGGUUGGCCCAAGUAGGUAGCUUGACCACCAGGAAUUGCAGCCCACUCUUGUGCCUUCACCCAGUUGCCCAACCCCAAGGCCUCUGGUACUAGGAUUCCAGGAACUGCAAGCAUAGCCCAUCUGCAGUGGAUGAGUUCAGACUCCUUGAAUCUCUCAAGGUUCUCGGGGACCUCACCUAGACGAAGUGGGUCGAACCCGAAGUCACCAGGCGCCGAGCCAUCGAGAUAAGGAGGGCGGGGCUGGCCAGGCAUCCAAUCAGCAGACAUUGUGAUACGAGAGGAGCCAUUGACACUAGGAAGAGGGAUUGAAGAAGCGAAUUUGGACUUAGAAGAUGAGAGAAGAGAAGGGAAAGCAGUGGC